GUGGGGAAUAUUCCGCAAUGGACGAAAGUCUGACGGAGCAACGCCGCGUGAGUGAUGAAGGUUUUCGGACUGUAAAGCUCUGUUGUUUAGGACGAAAGUGCCUGUUGCAAAUAGUUACAGGUAUUGACGGUACUGAACGAGGAAGCCACGGCUAACUACGUGCCAGCAGCCGCGGUAAUACGUAGGUGGCAAGCGUUGUCCGGAAUUAUUGGGCGUAAAGAGCAUGUAGGCGGGAAUCUAAGUCUGUUGUGAAAAUGCGGGGCUCAACCCCGUAUUGCGAUGGAAACUGGGUUUCUUGAGUGCAGGAGAGGAAAGGGGAAUUCCCAGUGUAGCGGUGAAAUGCGUAGAUAUUGGGAGGAACACCAGUGGCGAAGGCGCCUUUCUGGACUGUGUCUGACGCUGAGAUGCGAAAGCCAGGGUAGCGAACGGGAUUAGAAACCAGAGUAGUCC
Molecule: ribosomal RNA, 450 nt
Filed under: uncultured bacterium
Lineage: Bacteria
Description: partial 16S ribosomal RNA
Rfam family: Bacterial small subunit ribosomal RNA
Source: RNAcentral